UCCGGCUUAUCACCGGCAGUCCCACUAGAGUGCCCAACUGAAUGAUGGCAACUAAUGGCGAGGGUUGCGCUCGUUGCGGGACUUAACCCAACAUCUCACGACACGAGCUGACGACAGCCAUGCAGCACCUGUCUCCAAGCCCCUUGCGGGGAAACUCCUAUUAAGGAGCGGUCUUGGGAUGUCAAACCCUGGUAAGGUUCUGCGCGUUGCGUCGAAUUAAACCACAUGCUCCACCGCUUGUGCGGGCCCCCGUCAAUUCCUUUGAGUUUCAACCUUGCGGCCGUAGUCCCCAGGCGGAGAACUUAUCGCGUUAGCUUCGGCACCGAAGGGGUCGAUACCCCCGACACCUAGUUCUCAUCGUUUACAGCGUGGACUAC
RNAcentral lists this unclassified non-coding RNA (377 nucleotides) under uncultured Pseudomonadota bacterium. Its description in RNAcentral is "uncultured proteobacterium contains 16S-23S intergenic spacer region". The record is from RNAcentral. Lineage: Bacteria; Pseudomonadati; Pseudomonadota.